Long non-coding RNA from Micropterus dolomieu (smallmouth bass), 357 nucleotides. RefSeq lists it as uncharacterized. The transcript has 3 exons. NCBI's taxonomy places the organism in Eukaryota, Metazoa, Chordata, Actinopteri, Centrarchiformes, Centrarchidae. The record is from RefSeq and is a predicted model, not a curated record.
UCACCAGUUUGUCCAGUCAGCUACUUUGGUAGUUACCUGUCAGGCCCUCGCUUGUAAAAACUAUUUUGUACCUAUUGAAUGUUUCCUGUGAUUGAUACCUUCUCUCUUGUGCUCCGUGACCAUGCUUACCUGCCUCCUGUUGAAACCAUGUUGAGACCACCUCUCCGGUUUAAUGCCAUUUGGUGUAAAAGAUCUUAAUUGGCCUGCACAGACCUCAACCUCAUCCAACACCUUCGGGAUGAACUAGAAGACCCUCAAUUUGGAGACUCUGCAAGAGCAACAGAGGAGGGAUCCCUCUGCCAGGACAGACAGACAUGCAAAACCAACAUAAUAAAAUUACAGUAUGGGCAAUCACAA